This is a long non-coding RNA of Bufo bufo (common toad), 4617 nucleotides long. RefSeq lists it as uncharacterized. The record is from RefSeq and is a predicted model, not a curated record. NCBI's taxonomy places the organism in Eukaryota, Metazoa, Chordata, Amphibia, Anura, Bufonidae. The transcript has 3 exons.
UUGUAAAUAAAAAAGCCUGUGCCCUGUGCUAUCCAGCGCAGGGCAAGGGAGCGCAUGGGAGUAUAACAUGCUCCGAUGCUAUAAUAAGGGGGGCUGUCUGGGUGAAAAUAUGGGUAUGUCUGGGCAACCCGGACAACCCCUUUAAACAGGUUACACCUGAAAAAAAAUACCCUUGCUGGACUACAAGUUAUUUUACAUAACUGAAUACUUACACACAGUAUACUGUUUACUGAUCCAACUUAUUUCUUGGCUAUUGGAAUCAGAGGUGAUUUUGCUUUUUUACCUCCAUUUAUAUUUUUCAUUAGUUUUUCCUUUUCAUUGUUCAUCCUUUGUAUUAGAUUUUUUUUUUUUUUUCAUUGUACAUUGCCAAGUAUUGAACUUGCUUUCAAAUAGAAUAUUGUCCUUUGAUGCCUGUACAAGCACUGCUGGCAGUGGACUGUGCCGCAGGGUGGAAGGCCAGGCAGAACAAAUUCUUACUUCCUGCUAUUUUAAUUUUCUUUCGCAUUUGUUUUACUAUGCAGUUUGAAAUUUUGCAAUUACUUUGUACUCUACCAAUUAGUUGUUUUUUUCUUCUAUCAUUCAGGUUAUUAAGACAAAUGUUUCAUAAUCAUUGCAAUACUAAGCUUUAUUUUAAUGUGCGGCACAUUAUGUUUUGCGUGUUAUAUAUCUAAUAUUUCUCUGAGGUCCAGAGUAGAUACUCUUUAUCAUUUUAUAAUCAUUAUGCAUUGAGUAGUUUACAUGAAUACAUUUGAUUGCAGUUGUGCUUUAAUUUUGGGAGUUGGAAUUGGUUUUUUUGCGUUUAUUUGAAAAAUCUGUUUUGUUUUAUGUUUGUAUGUUUUAUAUUUGACUUUGUGGUUGCUAAAUGUUUAUAUAUUUCUGUUCCAAUUUUUGCAUAUAGUCCGUGACAAUGGUGUUUUAGAACCACUGGAUAAUGAUAUAAAGUACGUUUAUAGUAUGCUUCAUGGUGGAGGCAGUUUUGCUUAUUAGAUACUUUACAUUAGCUUUACAAGAUCAUUGAGCUCCUAAGGUCUCCUUCUAGCGCUACUUGGAAAACAUCUAGGUGAUUAUGCUGAUUGGAUCGGUAUUGAUUAAAAUUGCGAUUCUGGGGGGAGGAAGGGGCUGCAGGAUCUUGUCUUCUCACUUUAUAGUUAUGUUAAAGGAGUUGUCCAGGAUUUUUGAUAUUGAUGGCCUGGAGUCAGGAUAGGUCAUCAGUAUCUGAUCGGUGUGGGUCUGACCCCCAGCACCCUUGCCAAUCAGCUGCUUUGUGGAGACUGCAGCCCUCUAGCAAGCUCUGUGGCCUCUUGUUUGGCCAGAGAUGUCACGUUCAUGUGUCACAUGGUCUAGGCACAGCACAGUCGCAUUCAAGUGAAUGGGCCUGAGCUACAAUACCAAGUACAGCAUCUAUACAAUGUAAGGUACUGUGCUUGGUAGGCUGUGAGGAGGCCACAGCCUCUUCAAGCAGCUGAUAGGUGGGUAAGGGGGGCGGCAGGAGUCGGAGUGCCACCAAUCAAAUAUUGAUGACCUAUCCUGAGGACAGGCCAUCAGUAUCAAAAUCUUGGACAAUCUGAUCCGAAGGCUCCAGCAACAUGGUGAACUACCUGUGUUGAUGAAAUGGUAUCCACCAAAGUUGGCUUUCUAGCCUAGUAUUCAGUCCUUCUUUAGGAUAAUAGUGGGCUCUGAAAGGAAACAUAUUACAGUAAAUAGUUGAAAACCAAAAUCAGAGUAAAUUUUCUAGGAAACUACCCAGGGAAAUUUUCUGUGAAACAAAAUUUUUCUUUUUUUAAAUUUUAUUUUGACUUUCCUGUGGUUUAAAUAGCGACCAAUGCAGCGAUCUUCAUUUUAAAUCUUAACAAGUCAAAGGGGUAUUCCCAUCUGGGACAUUUAUGGCAUAUCCACAGUAUAUGCCAUAAAUGUCUGAGAGAUCUGGGUCCCACCUCUAGGACCUACUUCUGUCUUAAUGUAGGCAGGGCUAAACAGGUGAACGCACAGCGUGGCUCUCUCCACUUCAGUAGCACUUGAGAAAAUACCCGGGCACACUUUGCAGCAUAGGCUUUGGAUAGGCCAUGAAUGUUUUUUAAAUAGAUAAAGUUUUACUUUUUUGAUGAUAAGAGAUCGCACUGCAAGAAGUUAUCAAAUUCAAGUUAGAAAGCGCUGCAUCUGUAGGUGUUUCUGUCUUCACAAUGCAAGGGCUUCUCGGUGCAGUCCCAGGCUUGGGUCUGUCUUAGUUUACAAUUUUUCAACGUUUUUAAAAGACAUGCAGGCAGAUUGCACACUUUUUACUACUACUGGAACCCUGGCACAAUUUCGGAAUUUUGUACAAAUAUAAUUCACAAUAUGUGUAGACAGAAUAAUAUAUAGAUAUAUAAAAUGUGUGUAAAAUGCUGUAUGGGGAGGCUUUCUUUCCAUGUUCAUCAUACUGGAAUCAUCAGUUCAUCUGUUAUAUUCAAUGCAAAUUGUGGAAGACCUGCUGACUAGCUUGACACACACAGCCCAGCAGUUACAUCGUAGAGCAACCUCAAAAAGUAUUUUCUUAUAUAAGUACAGUCCUCUAGGCAGGGGAAUGGUCUCUUACUAGUCCCAAAAUGAGGGAUUGUAAUAUGUUUUGGGCAAUUUUUUCUAUUAAGAUUAGAAGAGCACUCUGUAACAUGGGUUUAUUGCAUCUGGUGUUAUGUAGUAUAUACAUAUACAAUCAAAUAAAUAGCACUCCAGUAAGAGCUUAACAAGUAUUCCGAAGCCAAGUUUCAUAAGUGGCUUCUGUUUUCAUCUGCGGUAUUGUCUAACCUCAUCAACAGCCUAACAACACUUGGUUAGGCUACUUUCACAUCUGCGUUUUUGCUGGAUCCCUAAAGAAAAAUGAUGUAAAAUACCUGCAUGUAUGCAAAAAAAAAUGCAGAAAAAUUCCUGUAUGUGUGCAGAAUGCUCACCAAAUAAUACCACAGUAGACCGGGAGUAGCCGUUUUUCCAUUUUCAUUAUCUUGCCCUGCUCUGUGCUGUACCUUUGUAUGGAUGCUACUAGGGCUUACAGUUCCCAGGAUUCUUCUCCCCUCUCACACACAUUGCUUCUAUUUACAGCCGCCUGCGUGUACUUCUGUAAUUACUCUGUCUUCACACACACUGAGCUCUGUUUUGCUGCCCACCAUGAGAAAUACGAUCCCUCCAUAGACAAAGGGGGAGGAAGUGAGCAUAAGAGGCAAGUGAUGUUUGAUGUCCCAUGCUUUAGGGAGAGGGGGUAGCCAUUUGUACAGUGUACAGGAUGCCACACAAGCAGUAGAUAAACCACGGGCAUGGUGCAUGCACUGCAUGUGAGACUGUCUUGCAGACCAUUUGCACACUAGUUUUAAGAGUUGGAAAACUCCUCUAAUUGAUUCAGCACACCAAAGUAGACACCCUUGAGAAUCAGACCCACCACACAUUGACAAUGUGUUACCUGGGAUAUGCACAAAUAUUAAAGCAAUAACCUCUGAGAUAGACAACUCUAGUGAUUUAUCUCAUUGCGAGCUCAAGUGUAAGCGAGGUGGUGACGUUAUUUCAAGUACUUUGCACUAACUUUGUACAGAGAUUUACUAAUAUGCUGUAGACUACUAAAGAUAUUGUGUGACUUCUCUGUUAAUGCUUUUUAAACUUACAGUAUGUACAGUCUAGGAAGAGGAGGUGGCCAAGGAGAAUUGGCUUUGUACCAGGCAUAAUACUGUUUGUAUAACGUGUGUAAAAUUUCAGCUAGGCUAAGACUACAGUAUGUGUCGUCAGAAAAUUACCUAGUUUUUAUGUUAAAUAUAUUUUUCCAUUUUUGAUCCUACAAUUUAUAUAUAUUUUUUUGAAAUCCUAAAGCCCAGGGGUGUUCGCACUGCCACUGUGCCUUAUAAUAGGCCAACAUGACCUGCUUUAUAGAGAUCACUUUUCAACAGUCAUCUCAUUAUCAACCCGAGCAGGAUUACAGUGAAAGAUAAAUCCUCUGUGUAGAUUACACAGGAUCCCACAAUUAACAAUAGGUGAUGUCACACUUUCAACUUUUUUUUAAAGUUGAUAAAUCUGGCUUAAAUCAGCUCAGCAGGCAAACCAGAGCCACUUUCCCACCUAGUGUUGGAAAAGUUUGCCUAAAUAAUCCCAAAAAGUCACAAAGCCCUAAUUUGUGACCUUUUUGUGUGCAAAACCUAAAUUGCUGAAAUGGGUUUUACACAUUAUGCCACAUAAUGUGGGAGGGUGUAUCCAUACCUACUGAAGAAAACCAACAGUGUGUUGGCAUAUUCCCUGUGCUGAUAUACUGGUAUGCAAGAACAGAUUUUUAAGGUUAGAAGUAUAGUAUGCAGAAUCUUCUACCUUGGAAUCGAACAACGAAAUCUCUUUUCUUUAUCUGUAGUAUGGAACAUCAUUCUUUACCCAAAAUACGUUUUCUUCAUUACAUCCUCAGUUCUCCUUUCUCACCACCUCCUCCGACAGACCAGAAUAUUAUUUUUUUAUUAAAAGGAAAAACGAAAUCAGUGCUGUAAUUUGUGCUAGAUUUUUCAGAACGCUUGAAUUUUGUAACGGGCUAUAACUCUGGAUGCUGAUUAUUAAGCAAACGUUAUGCAAAAAUGCUGGAUCUUUUUGCAAAGGAGUCCAAUAAAAAUCUUAAAUACA